Molecule: transfer RNA, 64 nt
Filed under: Strophurus mcmillani (short-tailed striped gecko)
Lineage: Eukaryota; Metazoa; Chordata; Lepidosauria; Squamata; Diplodactylidae
Description: tRNA-Cys
Source: RNAcentral
CAGUCUUGUAGUGAGCACACGUCGAAUUGCAAAUUCGAAAAAGUACCCUAAAAGUACCCGGACU